RNAcentral lists this long non-coding RNA (410 nucleotides) under Nicotiana benthamiana. Its description in RNAcentral is "long non-coding RNA (NBEN_LNC006610)". Lineage: Eukaryota; Viridiplantae; Streptophyta; Magnoliopsida; Solanales; Solanaceae. The record is from RNAcentral.
AGCGCGCCAGCGCUCAUCAGACAUAGCACUAGACAAAGUCUGAGGUUCAGUAACAGCUGGAGAGGUGACAACAGACAUACCAAACUUCUUGUUAAGCGUAAAGAUGUUAUUUUUGCUGCGAGUUUGCAUGUGAUGACCACCCUGAGAGGAUGAAGGUGGCGGCACAGUGGGUGUAGCGGCGGCGAGGGCCGCUGGCGGUGCCGUAAGAGGCGCUGGUGGCUCGGGCUAUGGCGCCGGCAGUGCGUCUAGUGAAGGAUCGCUAGUGGGAGCGGCGGCAGGUACUGGCGAAGGCAGCGGAAGGACUUCUGGGGUGACCGGAAUGGGUACGGGUGGAGACUCGGGGUUAGACAAUUUGGAGAACGGGAAGAUAUCUUCAUGGAAGGUGACAUGACGCGAGACGAAGAUUUUNN